This 402-nucleotide ribosomal RNA is filed under the name uncultured bacterium. Its description in RNAcentral is "bacterial SSU rRNA". It matches the Rfam family "Bacterial small subunit ribosomal RNA", at positions 355 to 774 of the family's 1533-position model. The record is from RNAcentral.
UGGGGAAUCUUGCACAAUGGGGGCAACCCUGAUGCAGCGACGCCGCGUGAGCGAUGAAGCCCUUCGGGGCGUAAAGCUCUUUCGACCGGAACGAUAAUGACGGUACCGGGAGAAGAAGCUGCGGCUAACUACGUGCCAGCAGCCGCGGUAAUACGUAGGCAGCAAGCGUUGUUCGGAGUUACUGGGCGUAAAGAGUGCGUAGGCGGUUUUCUAAGUUCGGUGUGAAAUCUCCCGGCUUAACUGGGAGGGUGCGCCGAAGACUGGGAAGCUGGAGUGUGGGAAAGGCAGGCGGAAUUCCUGGUGUAGCGGUAAAAUGCGUAGAUAUCAGGAGGAACACCGGCGGUGUAGACGGCUUGCUAGACCAUAACUGACGCUGAGGCACGAAAGCGUGGGUAGCAAACA